Molecule: ribosomal RNA, 496 nt
Filed under: uncultured bacterium
Lineage: Bacteria
Description: partial 16S ribosomal RNA
Rfam family: Bacterial small subunit ribosomal RNA
Source: RNAcentral
GACGAACGCUGGCGGCGUGCCUAAUACAUGCAAGUAGAACGCUGAAGAGAGGAGCUUGCUCUUCUUGGAUGAGUUGCGAACGGGUGAGUAACGCGUAGGUAACCUGCCUUGUAGCGGGGGAUAACUAUUGGAAACGAUAGCUAAUACCGCAUAACAAUGGAUGACCCAUGUCAUUUAUUUGAAAGGGGCAAAUGCUCCACUACAAGAUGGACCUGCGUUGUAUUAGCUAGUAGGUGAGGUAACGGCUCACCUAGGCGACGAUACAUAGCCGACCUGAGAGGGUGAUGGGCAACACGGGUACGGGGACAGGCCCCAGACCCCUAGGGGGGGCGGCAGUGGGGAAUCUUCGGCAAUGGGGGCAACCCUGACCGAGCACCGCCGGGGGAGUGAAGAAGGUGUUGGGAUCGAAAAGCUUUGUUGAAAGUAAAGAAGGGGUGGGGGGGGGAAAAUUACACACUGUGCGGGGACUUAACAAGAAAGGGCCGCUAAACUACGU